GGACUACCAGGGUAUCUAAUCCUGUUUGCUCCCCACGCUUUCGCAGUUGAGUGUCAGUGCCCAUCCAGCUUGCCGCCUUCGCCUCUGGUGUUCCUCCCGAUCUCUACGCAUUUCACCGCUACACCGGGAAUUCCACAAGCCUCUCUGGGACUCUAGUCUUACCGUUUCUUGCGCACUUCUUGAGUUAAGCCCAAGGAUUUCACACAAGACAAAUAAGACCACCUACCUGCCCUUUACGCCCAAUAAUUCCGAGCAACGCUUGCACCCCUCGUAUUACCGCGGCUGCUGGCAC
This 292-nucleotide ribosomal RNA is filed under the name uncultured bacterium. Its description in RNAcentral is "partial 16S ribosomal RNA". The record is from RNAcentral.